Molecule: ribosomal RNA, 801 nt
Filed under: uncultured bacterium
Lineage: Bacteria
Description: bacterial SSU rRNA
Rfam family: Bacterial small subunit ribosomal RNA
Source: RNAcentral
AGAGUUUGAUCCUGGCUCAGAUUGAACGCUGGCGGCAGGCCUAACACAUGCAAGUCGAGCGGUAACACAGAGGAGCUUGCUCCUUGGGUGACGAGCGGCGGACGGGUGAGUAAUGCCUGGGGAUCUGCCCGAUAGAGGGGGAUAACUACGGGAAACUGUAGCUAAUACCGCAUAAUGUCUACGGACCAAAGUGGGGGCUCUUCGGACCUCAUGCUAUCGGAUGAACCCAGGUGGGAUUAGCUAGUUGGUGAGGUAAUGGCUCACCAAGGCGACGAUCUCUAACUGGUUUGAGAGAAUGACCAGUCACACUGGAACUGAGACACGGUCCAGACUCCUACGGGAGGCAGCAGUGGGGAAUAUUGCACAAUGGGCGCAAGCCUGAUGCAGCCAUGCCGCGUGUGUGAAGAAGGCCUUCGGGUUGUAAAGCACUUUCAGCGGGGAGGAAGGGCUACUAGUUAAUACCUAGUGGCAUUGACGUUACUCGCAGAAGAAGCACCGGCUAACUCCGUGCCAGCAGCCGCGGUAAUACGGAGGGUGCAAGCGUUAAUCGGAACUACUGGGCGUAAAGCGCACGCAGGCGGUUUGUUAAGUCAGAUGUGAAAUCCCCGAGCUCAACUUGGGAACUGCAUUUGAAACUGGCAAGCUAGAGUCUUGUAGAGGGGGGUAGAAUUCCAGGUGUAGCGGUGAAAUGCGUAGAGAUCUGGAGGAAUACCGGUGGCGAAGGCGGCCCCCUGGACAAAGACUGACGCUCAGGUGCGAAAGCGUGGGGAGCAAACAGGAUUAGAUACCCCGGUAGUCCAA